RNAcentral lists this non-coding RNA (198 nucleotides) under Clostridium sp. Lineage: Bacteria; Bacillati; Bacillota; Clostridia; Eubacteriales; Clostridiaceae. The record is from RNAcentral. RNAcentral also lists the same sequence under 1 other name.
UUUUAAUAUUAAAAAUACGGUUUGAAAAGCCUUGUGCUUGGUAGAUUAAUAGGGAAUUCGGUGAGAAUCCGAAGCAACCGCCAUUACUGUAUUUGACGAUGAAACAGCGUGUACCAUUUGCCCUUGCAGAGAAGGUGCUGUUUGUGUGAGUAUCACUACAUCAUAAGUCAGGAGACCUGCCGUAUUUUCAUAGGUAAU